RNAcentral lists this ribosomal RNA (468 nucleotides) under uncultured bacterium. Its description in RNAcentral is "partial 16S ribosomal RNA". It matches the Rfam family "Bacterial small subunit ribosomal RNA", at positions 28 to 507 of the family's 1533-position model. The record is from RNAcentral.
GACGAACGCUGGCGGCGUGCUUAACACAUGCAAGUCGAACGGAAAGGCCCUGCUUGUGUGUGGUGCUCGAGUGGCGAACGGGUGAGUAACACGUGAGUAACCUGCCCUGGACUUUGGGAUAACUUCAGGAAACUGGGGCUAAUACCGGAUAGGAGCGCCUGCUGCAGGGUGGGGGUUGGAAAGUUUAGGCGGUUGGGGAUGGACUCGCGGCUUAUCAGCUUGUUGGUGGGGUAGUGGCUUACCAAGGGUUUGACGGGUAGCCGGCCUGAGAGGGUGACCGGCCACAUUGCGACUGAGAUACGGCCCAGACUCCUACGGGAGGCAGCAGUGGGGAAUAUUGCCCAGUGGGCGGAAGCCUGAUGCAGCAACGCCGCGUGCGGGAUGCCGGCCUUCGGGUUGUAAACCGCUUUCGCCUGUGACGAAGCGUGAGUGACGGUAAUGGGUAAAGAAGCACCGGCUAACUACGUG